Molecule: long non-coding RNA, 1964 nt
Organism: Lytechinus pictus (painted urchin)
Lineage: Eukaryota; Metazoa; Echinodermata; Echinoidea; Temnopleuroida; Toxopneustidae
Exons: 2
Source: RefSeq, a predicted model, not a curated record
UACAACUCUUUGACUAUCUAAACCUAGAACAAUCGCAUUAAAAUAGUAUUUGCGUGGUGUAGCGGCAAAGUCCCACACAACAACACGAAAUCUCCAUAAAAGUAUACAACUAUAACUUCAAGGAGCAAUAAAUCAACAAUAUUUCUACAAAUUCAUGGACUAAAUUCAUAUAUCUAUUAUCGUCAAGUCAUCGAAGAGAGUGCAUUGGUAUAGGUUGUGGAGUGUAGUUGAAAGGCUUCAUGAUUUUCAAGACGUCCUGAUCAUUCUUCCUGUGAUUUUGUUUAUCAUACAUAAAAGCUGGACCCAGUUUAAUCUUCUUUUAUACCACUUCAGAAGGACCACAAGCCUGACUCCAUAGCAAACAUGCCACUAUCAACGUUAGAACUCAGGCCGAAAAUCGACUACACCCAAAACACGUAUGGCGACCAGAAGUACAACAUCAUGCAUCUCAUCAGCAUUUGCAACCAAGACUCCACCCAAUCACCAUGGCAACAGUCAAAGGGGAGUGCCCAGAUCACCCAAAUACACAGCAUCAAACUCCCAACCUUGAACUCGUCGGGUUUCGCCAAUCAGAGCGGCGCUUUGUAUGCGUCAUCAUCGCAGCCACGCCUUAAUCUACCGAGCGUUGGGCGUGGCAUGGUCCACAGUACGCUGAUGCCGUUUUCUUCGUACGGCAAACCGACGUGCGGCUAUUUCUUCACAAGGACGACGGAGCAUCGAAAAAUGAGGAUGGGGAUUCCCCCUAAAUUUGGGUACCUGAACGUUUCUGCACCGCCUAUGAGAUAAAUCGUCUUAAAAAUGAACAUAUGAACAUAUCGAACAGAUGAUAAUAUUGUUUUUUGAAAUAUUUUCGCUUAAAAUUGUGUAUAUAAUGUACAUUGUUUUAUGAUGAAACAGCGUAUUAUGGCAUAAGAUGGUGUAGGCCAAUUUUUAACUAAGGUAUAUUUUUUCUUCAUUCCAAAUCUAUGAAGAUAUUUUGAUCAAAUUACCCGUCUUCACUCAUGGCCGUACGCAGGAAUUUCUUCCGGGGGGGGGGGGGCAAGAUGCGUAUUUUUUUGAAGAAAUUCCAAAGCGAGGAAGCGCAGCGGCCGAGACUCUCAUGGGGCACGUUUGCAUUUUCAAAAAUGAGAUUAAAAUAUUUCGUGCACUCUUUUUGGUAAUUUUUUGUUACAAAUUUUCAGUCAAAAUGUAAGUUUUCCAAAUUUCUGCACCCCCCCCCCCCCCCCGCUGCGUACGACCAUGUCUUGAUUGUUCUUUGGCUGUUUAUACGAGCAAAAUUGGGCAUAAUAAUUUCGUUCAGGACACUAAUAUGGUGGGGAGUAGUCUAUUAUCAACCUGGUAGGAGGUGGAUGCAAUACCAUAAUGCUAUGUUAGGCAAACACAGAGCAAAAUGCAUGUGACUUUUCUCUACUGUUCUUCUAUUCUACCUAUUCAAAACUAUAAAGACUUCUCAUUUUGAUGUUAUAUGAAGUAAAAAUUGACAAUCAUAAGAAAUUCUUCAUUGUAUUCUAUUGGCGAUGAUGAAAUUGGUAAGGCAAAAACAACGAAAAUAAUGGUGGUGGUGAUGAUGAUGUUAUCAAACUGUAUUAUUAUUGAUAAUAAUAAUAAUAAUAAUACUAAUGGUGAUAUUAAUAAUAAAUAAUGAUGAUAUAGUAAUUUUUUACAUGAUGAUAAUUAUAAUAAAGAUAAUAGUAAUGAUAGAAAGAAGAAUGAUAACAAUAAUUUUAUAUUUAUCGAAAUAAUGAUUAGAAUAGUUAUGGAAAUGGUGAUGAUGAUAAUAACUUAAGUGAUUAAUAUGUUUAUGUACAAAAUCCGUUUCUUAUGUAUAAAAUGCUAAUAUGCCAAAUCUUUAUUUAAAGUUGUGGGUUUUACCAUAUUCUUGUAAAUAAUGUCGGUGGAUGUUUUUUUUUAUGAAACCAUUUGUUUUCAUGUAUUUUCAACAAUAAAAUGAUGAUAGCAGUUUA